Molecule: ribosomal RNA, 848 nt
Filed under: uncultured bacterium
Lineage: Bacteria
Description: bacterial SSU rRNA
Rfam family: Bacterial small subunit ribosomal RNA
Source: RNAcentral
GAUGAACGCUGGCGGCGUGCCUAACACAUGCAAGUCGAGCGGACCAAUGCUCAUUUCAGCUUUGCUGAUUUGAGCAACGGUUAGCGGCGGACGGGUGAGUAACGCGUGGGCAACCUGCCCUGUGCAGGGGGAUAACACAGCGAAAGCUGUGCUAAUACCCCAUAAGACUACGCUAUCGCAUGAUAGAGUAGUCAAAGCUUUAGCGGCACAGGAUGGGCCCGCGUCUGAUUAGCUAGUUGGUGGGGUAACGGCCUACCAAGGCGACGAUCAGUAGCCGACCUGAGAGGGUGAUCGGCCACACUGGAACUGAGACACGGUCCAGACUCCUACGGGAGGCAGCAGUGGGGAAUAUUGCACAAUGGGGGAAACCCUGAUGCAGCAACGCCGCGUGAGCGAAGAAGGCCUUCGGGUCGUAAAGCUCUGUCCUAAGGGAAGAAGCAUGACGGUACCUUAGGAGGAAGCCCCGGCUAACUACGUGCCAGCAGCCGCGGUAAUACGUAGGGGGCGAGCGUUAUCCGGAAUCACUGGGCGUAAAGGGUGCGUAGGCGGCCGAGUAAGCCAGAGGUGAAAGGCUACGGCUUAACCGUAGUAAGCCUUUGGAACUACUUGGCUUGAGUGCAGGAGAGGAGAGUGGAAAUCCUAGUGUAGCGGUGAAAUGCGUAGAUAUUAGGAGGAACACCAGUGGCGAAGGCGACUCUCUGGACUGUAACUGACGCUGAGGCACGAAAGCGUGGGGAGCAAACAGGAUUAGAUACCCUGGUAGUCCACGCCGUAAACGAUGAGUGCUAGGUGUCGGGGGUUCACACCCUCGGUGCCGGAGUUAACGCAAUAAGCACUCCGCCUGGGGA